AGUCGAGGGGCAGCGCGGGAUAGCAAUAUUCUGGCGGCGACCGGCGGAAGGGUGCGUAACGCGUGAGCGACAUGCCCGUUGCCCGGGGACAACCGGUGGAAACGCCGACUAAUCCCCGAUGGGAUAUUGUGCCGCAUGGCACGAUAUUGAAAGUUACGGCGGCGACGGAUUGGCUCGCGUCCGAUUAGCUUGUUGGCGGGGUAACGGCCCACCAAGGCUACGAUCGGUAGGGGUUCUGAGAGGAAGGCCCCCCACAAUGGGACUGAGACACGGCCCAUACUCCUACGGGAGGCAGCAGUGAGGAAUAUUGGUCAAUGGGCGGAAGCCUGAACCAGCCAUGCCGCGUGCGGGAAGGAGGCCCUAUGGGCUGUGAACCGCUUUUGCCUGGGGGCAAUAAGGGCGUCGCGCACGCCCGAUGAGAGUACCAGGCGAAUAAGCAUCGGCUAACUCCGUGCCAGCAGCCGCGGUAAUACGGGGGAUGCGAGCGUUAUCCGGAUUCAUUGGGUUUAAAGGGUGCGUAGGCUGUGCGUCAAGUCGGGGGUGAAAUUCCGGUGCUCAACACCGGGGCUGCCCUUGAUACUGUCGCGCUGGAGUGCGGAUGCCGCCGGAGGAAUGAGUGGUGUAGCGGUGAAACGCUUAGAUAUCACUCAGAACACCGAUUGCGAAGGCAUCUGGCGAAUCCGUAACUGACGCUGAGGCACGAAAGCGUGGGGAUAGAACAGGAUUAGAUACCCUGGUAUUCCACGCCGUAAACGAUGAUGGCUAACCGCCGGCGACACACUGUCGGUGGCCAAGCGAAAGCGAUAAGCCAUCCACCUGGGGAGUACGUCG
This 831-nucleotide ribosomal RNA is filed under the name uncultured bacterium. RNAcentral's name for it is "bacterial SSU rRNA". It matches the Rfam family "Bacterial small subunit ribosomal RNA", at positions 60 to 887 of the family's 1533-position model. The record is from RNAcentral.